Long non-coding RNA from Sapajus apella (tufted capuchin), 1218 nucleotides. RefSeq lists it as uncharacterized. NCBI's taxonomy places the organism in Eukaryota, Metazoa, Chordata, Mammalia, Primates, Cebidae. The transcript has 2 exons. The record is from RefSeq and is a predicted model, not a curated record.
CCAGCUUGCGCCCCAGCUGCAAGUGGGGAUCAGCACUGCGCGUCACGAGGCAGACUCCUGGAACAGAAGUCGGAGUUUGCGUUGAUCCAGGAAUGCCUGUUGCAGGUUGUGUCUGGCAGGGCUGGGGAUUGUGGAAGGUGCGUUAACUGGCCUUGUGGAGCCAGGAGGGCCUGUCAGCUGCUGGAAGUGGAGGUGGAGAAGCUGCUCACAGGAACCAGAGUCAGAAGGCUGGGAGGGAGAGUCCCAGGUCUGUGUUUUCAGAGCCUUCCCCAUGAAGCUACAUCUAGGUGUGAUUGCCUAGGGGUGGUAAAACUGUUGCUGUUGCCUGGCUGCCCCCUAGAACCCUUGGGUUCCUUCUUUUGCUCUUUCAGACAGAGGAAGGGAGGAAACCAGAGGUUUUGACCUAUUGUGCAAAGUUUCUAGGGGGCCUAGGAGCACCGAACGUGAAUAAGGAUGUAGGCAAGGGACGCAUUCUAAAGACAGCCCUAGACGGAGGGAAGACAGACUGCCCCGAAUGUAGCAACGUUCCCAAAGAGAGGAAGGUUACUGGGGCAGAGAGGUAGGAACUGGAUGGAGUGCUGAGAGCAGAUUCUAUAACCAGCUUUUCUGCUGCCGGGUUUUCAGUUCAGCUGCAUCUCAGAUUCCUGGAUUUUACCUAUUUGUUGGUGAAUUUGCCCGGGUGAUGACAGCAAAUCAUUGAGUGACAGGAAGGGGCAAUACAAGCCAUCCUCAGCUGACUUCUCUCCAAGGACCUUCCAAAUGUCCAGUGACUCAGUGAAGAAUGUACUCCCUCCCUCCUGCCUCCACAUAACCAAUGCAGAGUAGAGGUGGAGGAUGGUACAGUUAUGAGGAACUGGGAAGCCAGAGUAUGUGUUGAGUCUAGACUCUGCAAUUAGACUCCCUUGUCCUCAUCCCUACACUACCACUUCAUGACUGGGUAACUCCAGGCAAGUCUAAAUAGCCGUUUGAAGCCUCAGUUUCCUUAUCUAAGAAGUGGGCAUAAUAAUGGCUUGUGCUAUUAUAAGGGUUGAGUGAACUAAAAUAUAUGUAAAAUGCUUAGAACCGUGCCUGGUGUGCAGUGAAUGCUACAUGAACUAUGAUUACAGGGUAUUAAAUGGAAUGAUGAGAUCCAUCUGGAAUGAUGGCAGAGCUAGGGUGGAAGGAGAGACUGUAAAACAGGUGUCAGUCUUAAAUGAAUUAAGUAAUGAAGACAGUACU